This 590-nucleotide ribosomal RNA is filed under the name uncultured bacterium. RNAcentral's name for it is "bacterial SSU rRNA". It matches the Rfam family "Bacterial small subunit ribosomal RNA", at positions 337 to 917 of the family's 1533-position model. The record is from RNAcentral.
UCCUACGGGAGGCAGCAGUAGGGAAUCUUCCGCAAUGGACGAAAGUCUGACGGAGCAACGCCGCGUGAGUGAUGAAGGCUUUCGGGUCGUAAAACUCUGUUGUUAGGGAAGAACAAGUGCUAGUUGAAUAAGCUGGCACCUUGACGGUACCUAACCAGAAAGCCACGGCUAACUACGUGCCAGCAGCCGCGGUAAUACGUAGGUGGCAAGCGUUAUCCGGAAUUAUUGGGCGUAAAGCGCGCGCAGGUGGUUUCUUAAGUCUGAUGUGAAAGCCCACGGCUCAACCGUGGAGGGUCAUUGGAAACUGGGAGACUUGAGUGCAGAAGAGGAAAGUGGAAUUCCAUGUGUAGCGGUGAAAUGCGUAGAGAUAUGGAGGAACACCAGUGGCGAAGGCGACUUUCUGGUCUGUAACUGACACUGAGGCGCGAAAGCGUGGGGAGCAAACAGGAUUAGAUACCCUGGUAGUCCACGCCGUAAACGAUGAGUGCUAAGUGUUAGAGGGUUUCCGCCCUUUAGUGCUGAAGUUAACGCAUUAAGCACUCCGCCUGGGGAGUAUGGCCGCAAGGCUGAAACUCAAAGGAAUUGACGGA